ACGCGAAAGUGCCAAAGUUUUUCAUUGUAAUAAAUAUUUUAAUUUUGAACUUGAGCAAUUAACCCGGGAACGCAUGUGGAAAGGCAAGGCAAGGAAUGAAAUGGAAUGGGGAUGCCACCUCCAUUGUCCUGGCAAUUGUGAUAGGGAUACCACCCACUCGAGCCCUUUUUUCCUUCGCUGGGCGUAACGCUCUCCACGAGCAUUAUGAACUUAAGCCCCCCCGGCAAACAACAAUAACAAUAAGAGGCUGGGACACAUGCCAAAGUGGUUAAGUCGGCGGAGAAAUGUUGGCAAAACUUUUCGGGGCGACGCAUUUAAAUGAUUUUGCAUAAUUCAAAUGGUGGCAAACUUUUCGCAUCCCGAGAAACACACAGGCAGCAACAAACAAACAAACCAAAAAUAAAAAAACAAAAAUAACGAAAGCGUUACGAAACUUGGCCCCGAACUUGCCAGGUGAACAGUCAGGGGUGGAUGCCCCCCAACCACCGGGAUGCCGUCAACUGGAAAUGUACACAAAGGGCUUAAUUAUAAAAGUCAACACACGGCACAGAACGGCGCGGCGCAAAGCGUUUCACAAAGAAGCUCGGGGGUUAGGCACUCUCUAUAUCAUCAUCAUCAUCCGCACCCGAUGCACUCGCACCCAUUCACCGCGCUCAAACAAAAACCCAAAAUCCAAAAAGCAAGAGCUGAAUCUGAAUCUGAAUUUGAAUCCGAAUCUGAAUCUGUGAGAUUUUUACGGUUAUUUGUUUGGAAAAAAUACAAAAUAAAGAAAAACAGGAGGCCGGCAAAAGGCAGACCUGCAGUAAUUCAAACAGCGAGCAAACCGGAAAAUGUGAUAAGUUUUUUCAAGUACAGCGAUUGCCAUAACUGUAAGCUAACCUAGUUAUAAACUUAU
Molecule: long non-coding RNA, 895 nt
Organism: Drosophila teissieri
Lineage: Eukaryota; Metazoa; Arthropoda; Insecta; Diptera; Drosophilidae
Exons: 3
Source: RefSeq, a predicted model, not a curated record